RNAcentral lists this ribosomal RNA (403 nucleotides) under uncultured bacterium. Its description in RNAcentral is "partial 16S ribosomal RNA". It matches the Rfam family "Bacterial small subunit ribosomal RNA", at positions 30 to 526 of the family's 1533-position model. The record is from RNAcentral.
AUUGAACGCUGGCGGCAGGCCUAACACAUGCAAGUCGAGCGACCGGCGGACGGGUGAGUAAUGUAAGCGGACCGCCCGCUAGAGGGGGCUAACAAAAGGAGAAGGUAGCACAUACCGCGUAUGAUCGGAUAACCCAUAUGGGAUUAGAUAGUAGGGGAGGUAAUGGCUCACCUAGGCGACGAUCCCUAGCUGGUCUGAGAGGAUGGUCAGCCACACUGGGACUGAGACACGGCCCAGACUUCUACGGAGGCAGCAGUGGGGAAUAUUGCACAAUGGGGGCAAGCCUGAUGCAGCCAUCCCGCGUGUAUGAAGAAGGCCCUAGGGUUGUAAAGUACUUUCAGUCGGGAGGCGUUACCGCCAGAAGAAGCACCGGCUAACUCCGUGCCAGCAGCCGCGGUAAUUC